Molecule: ribosomal RNA, 653 nt
Filed under: Streptomyces sp.
Lineage: Bacteria; Bacillati; Actinomycetota; Actinomycetes; Kitasatosporales; Streptomycetaceae
Description: bacterial SSU rRNA
Rfam family: Bacterial small subunit ribosomal RNA
Source: RNAcentral
GUCGAUCGAUGAACCACUUCGGUGGGGAUUAAGUGGCGAACGGGUGAGUAACACGUGGGCAAUCUGCCCUUCACUCUGGGACAAGCCCUGGAAACGGGGUCUAAUACCGGAUAUGACCAUCUUGGGCAUCCUUGAUGGUGUAAAGCUCCGGCGGUGAAGGAUGAGCCCGCGGCCUAUCAGCUUGUUGGUGAGGUAAUGGCUCACCAAGGCGACGACGGGUAGCCGGCCUGAGAGGGCGACCGGCCACACUGGGACUGAGACACGGCCCAGACUCCUACGGGAGGCAGCAGUGGGGAAUAUUGCACAAUGGGCGAAAGCCUGAUGCAGCGACGCCGCGUGAGGGAUGACGGCCUUCGGGUUGUAAACCUCUUUCAGCAGGGAAGAAGCGCAAGUGACGGUACCUGCAGAAGAAGCGCCGGCUAACUACGUGCCAGCAGCCGCGGUAAUACGUAGGGCGCAAGCGUUGUCCGGAAUUAUUGGGCGUAAAGAGCUCGUAGGCGGCUUGUCACGUCGAUUGUGAAAGCCCGAGGCUUAACCUCGGGUCUGCAGUCGAUACGGGCUAGCUAGAGUGUGGUAGGGGAGAUCGGAAUUCCUGGUGUAGCGGUGAAAUGCGCAGAUAUCAGGAGGAACACCGGUGGCGAAGGCGGAUCUCU